Molecule: RNA transcript, 3072 nt
Organism: Gadus macrocephalus (Pacific cod)
Lineage: Eukaryota; Metazoa; Chordata; Actinopteri; Gadiformes; Gadidae
Gene: spice1
Gene name: spindle and centriole associated protein 1
Exons: 15
Source: RefSeq, a predicted model, not a curated record
UAACAACCUAUUGCGACCGCGCAGGAAGUGGCGCGCAGGUCAACUGUUGAAUGAGUAUAUCCUGACGUUGUUAUCCGUCCUGUAGCACCUGACCUCCUCUUCUAUUAUCAAUACAUUAUAUUUACAGUUAUCAUCGCACAACACGGAGGAGCGGCUCAGGACGGCUCGGUGCUCAUCACCUCUUUUCAUCGGGAGUAACCGUGAGAGAUCGUCAUGAAGCCUGGACGCCUGCAGCCCAGCCAGGGGAAGAGGUCCGCCCGGCCCAAGAAGGCCGCCGCGCGUAGGGAUUGGGUUAGCACCGUCAACGACCUCUCUGUGCACAAGUCGACGCCAGCCGAACUGGUCCACCGCCAUGAGAUCCACAAGUCCCACAACUCUGCGGUGGCCCAGUGGGAGCUGAAGGAGAAGAGUGUCAGGAGGCGCCACAGGGUCCUGGGGACCCCCUCCCCCAUGGACCAGGCCAGCCUCAGCAUCAUCCGGGAGGUGUUCUCUGACCAGCUCUUGCUCCAGGAUGUGUUGGCUCGCUCAGACAGAGCAAUGGCCGUGGUCAAGGACCUUUUCGGAGACGCCCCGCGCAGACAGACAGGACACCCCAGGGUGACGAUGGCUCCGGACUGUGAUUCUGACUCUGAGCUGCCGGUGGUCCGGAGAGCCGACCCCCCCACCCAGCUGUCUCUCCUCAGCCACACAACAAUGAAUCAGCAGGCUCUGAAUGAUCUGGAAGAGUGUGAGGGAGAGUACCGGGAAGAGGAGCCGCCUCCCGCUGCCGUCACUGGUCCAAGACCCAGGUCUGACCCGUGCCGGAUGAGAACCAGGACGGGGCUGGGUGGAGGGCCCCCAGGUCCAAGGGCCAAGCCCAGCUCCAGGUCCAGAGGGUGGGGGGCCAGCGGGCAGACCCCCCCCGGUGCCCCAGCCACAGCUCCAGAUCCAGCAGGCCUCAACACCACGGUAGCAGUGCAGCGAGUGUGCGCCCGAACCAGCCAAUCAGAGGCAGGGCAGGAGGCGGGGCCUGGCGUCCAGGACUCGCUGAGCUCAUCAGCACGGCCCGGUGCUGCCCCCUGCAGGCAGAGGAAGACCCCCGCCACACCGCGCCCUGCUGAGACCCCCGGGCCGAUGGACGGGUCCGCCGUCUCCCUGAGCGGGACCCGGUCCAGCCUGGACCUGCUGCAGGGCAUGCUGGGCCGGGUGGAGGAGGACCUGGACUCCAUGGGCCCCCAGGAGCCAGAGAGAGAGGGCCAGCCCUCCUCUGGGGCCGGACCGCCCCCCAGGACCCAGGGCCUCACAGGCUUCUCCGUGGCGCUGGUCUCCACCCUGGGCCGGGUGGUGCAGCUCCUCAGACAGAGGGAGGAGGAGGCGCAGAGGGAGGUGGGUGAGAGGAGACGUCUGGAGGAGGUGGUGCUGGAUCAGAGGGCGCUGAUAGAUGCCCUCAGCGCAGAGAGCCUGGCCCUGAGAGAGGAGAGCGCCGCCCUGCAGGUGUGCCUCCUUCAGCGGACCUCUGAGCUGGAGCAGCGGCUGGACACGGUGGUGCAGGCACUGGGAGGAGUGGACCUACUGGGAGGACUCCUGGGUGCUCCUAAUGACUCCCUCCCACUCUCCCAUAGCCCAGAUUAUGGGAGUGACUCGCUGUAUGCCGGGUUCGAGCCCCGCCUGACCCAAGGCCCCGCCUCCUCUGCUGUCCUGCUCUCCCCUCCCCAGCAGAGAGACCACCUGCCCCACGGCCCCCCAGAGCGCGGCCCCAGUCCACGCUACGACCGCCCCCGGCACGGCGCCCGGGGUCACCGGGAGGUCGCCAGCCUCUCCUCCUCCACCCUCCCCCCGGCCCCCGUGACCUCUGACCCCGAGGGACGGCCCGCCCUCUCAGAGGAGGCCCUGGUGGCGGAGAUCACGCGGCUGAGCCAGCAGAACCAGCGCAUCAAGGAGCAGCUCACCCAGGCCAGGGCUCUGGGGUCGGCCCUCAGCCGCUCCCCAGACCCAGGCACCGCCACAGCCUCCUCCUCCUCCUCCUCCUCCUCUUCCUCCUCCCAGGCCAAGGGUUCCUGGUCCUCUGGCAGCACGGGGCCGGGGGCCCGGGGUGGGAGGGCUGAGUCUGCUGGCCCACAGAGGGAGACCCAGCAGGACCCCCUGACGGGAGGAGGACCGCUGCAGUCUCCAGAGGUACAGUAGACCCAGCAGGUCUCCAGGGUACAGUAGACCCAGCAGGUCUCCAGAGGUACAGUAGACCCAGCAGGUCUCCAGAGGUACAGUAGACCCAGCAGGUCUCCUGGGUACAGUAGACCCAGCAGGUCUCCAGAGGUACAGUAGACCCAGCAGGUCUCCGGAGGUACGGUAGACCCAGCAGGUCUCCAGAGGUACGGUAGACCCAGCAGGUCUCCGGAUGUACAGUAGACCCAGCAGGUCUCGAGUCCCAGAGGUCCACCUGACCCAGGCCUUCCUUCCCCUCAGUGGAAGGUUGAUCCUCGGUGUGGGAGUCACUUUGGAUUGGCACGAAGCUCCUACAGAAAUGGAAAGAUAUUAACAUCUCCUGAAGGCCAGUCGAAGGGCGACCUUGCCAGUGUUUGUAAUAACGCUGUUUAAAUGAACGGCUAACGCCGUUAUUUUUUCAGCAACGGGGUAGUCUUACUAAUUACUGUUUACGUCGUUACAACGCCGUUACCGUUACUGCACGUUAAAUGCGGUGCAUUACUAUGAAUUGAUUGAAUAAAAUAAGUGUAGGUACGCACCCCUGGCUCCACGCACAAACUGCUAGUGAGGAGACCGUUCGGGUUAACGACGAGAUAAUUAAUAAUGACUGGCUAAGGCAGAGUCAUGUUUCACGAUCGGGGCCAAUCGGAGCCAGUGUUUUUACACACAAGCCGCGGCACACGCACGCACACACACACACACACACACUCACACUCACACUCACACUCACACACACUCUCGAUGAAGCAGAAGAAAUGGCGAGUCCGGAGCAAUCUGAUGAAAAGUUGGCAUUAUCAAGGUGGAGAUAGAAGCACUGCCUCAAAUUCAUUGAGGUCAAAUGCAAGAAUGGGCAUGUACCUAGCCCACCUGCCCUCCUCCCCUCCUGUCUCC